GCUUGCAGUCUGCCCACUAAUGGUUUGCGAACUGAAACGCCCCAGGAAAGCCUGGCCAUGAAAGACGCACAGCGCAGGGCUGAGGCCAGCUCUGGGGCUGACCCUGCAAGCUCUCUUCCAGCUUGCAGGGGGGAAGGUCCUCAUGGAAACUCUCAGAGCUUAGUUCUUUCAGUCAGUGAAGACUCCAAGGCUUACAUUUAUAUUGUGGAAACCAAGAACUUAUCCCCAAGACCCCAAGACUGGAGCUAA
Molecule: long non-coding RNA, 249 nt
Filed under: Phasianus colchicus (ring-necked pheasant)
Lineage: Eukaryota; Metazoa; Chordata; Aves; Galliformes; Phasianidae
Description: lncRNA (ENSPCLG00000019616.1)
Source: RNAcentral